RNAcentral lists this ribosomal RNA (492 nucleotides) under uncultured bacterium. RNAcentral's name for it is "partial 16S ribosomal RNA". It matches the Rfam family "Bacterial small subunit ribosomal RNA", at positions 29 to 507 of the family's 1533-position model. The record is from RNAcentral.
AGUGAACGCUGGCGGUAGGCCUAACACAUGCAAGUCGAACGGCAGCACAGUAAGAGCUUGCUCUUACGGGUGGCGAGUGGCGGACGGGUGAGGAAUACAUCGGAAUCUACUUUUUCGUGGGGGAUAACGUAGGGAAACUUACGCUAAUACCGCAUACGACCUACGGGCGAAAGCAGGGGAUCUUCGGACCUUGCGCGAUUGAAUGAGCCGAUGUCGGAUUAGCUAGUUGGCGGGGUAAAGGCCCACCAAGGCGACGAUCCGUAGCUGGUCUGAGAGGAUGAUCAGCCACACUGGAACUGAGACACGGUCCAGACUCCUACGGGAGGCAGCAGUGGGGAAUAUUGGACAAUGGGCGAAAGCCUGAUCCAGCCAUACCGCGUGGGUGAAGAAGGCCUUCGGGUUGUAAAGCCCUUUUGUUGGGAAAGAAAAGCAGCAGGUUAAUACCCCGCUGUUCUGACGGUACCCAAAGAAUAAGCACCGGCUAACUUCGUG